RNAcentral lists this long non-coding RNA (2082 nucleotides) under Mus caroli (Ryukyu mouse). RNAcentral describes it as "lncRNA (MGP_CAROLIEiJ_G0004381.1)". The record is from RNAcentral. Lineage: Eukaryota; Metazoa; Chordata; Mammalia; Rodentia; Muridae.
GCGCGGAGCACGCCAGAUCUCUGGAGAGACAGGUGUGUGCGUGCAAAAACCACAAGACCUUGAGUCAACAAUGUGGUGGGAGCUGAAUCCUCCUUUUGCUCCUCCUGGGAUUGUGUGAGUAUGGGACACAUUUGGUGGGAUCCCCCAUUCAAGAUGGACUUUGAGUAAGUUGAAAGUCUGAUGACCAAAUCAACUCUAUGGGCAUUCAACCCUCUUGCGACUGAACCACAGACACUGGACAGUACAAACCCAUCCUCUUUAGGUUUACAGACUUGGGGGGAAAGGCUAAUGGAUUGGACUGGUUCAGCUGGUGUGAAGGUGAACAGUCCUCUGAGGGGGAGUGAGUAUGGAUAUAGGAAAGACAAAAGACUCAGAAACGAAGGUUAGAAAUUAGGAGGACUGUAGGUCUAUACCACACUAACCCUGAAUGUAUUUCUGAUAGCCUUUAUAUAUUUUACAGUAUCGUGGGAGACAAAGUCACAAGGUAGAAGAGAAAAUGGCUGAUGUACAUAGGAUAUUUAUUCCCAUCUAGAGGCCUCCCUGUUCCUUCCACCAAGAUUAAUAGAAUAUUCAGCCACUCACCUCGGGCUUCAAGUGUAUCCCCUCUUAUUGAUUCAAGAGUCAGCAGACAGGGAAACCUGCUAGCAGACUCUGAUCUGCCUUGACUCUACCUGACAGGAAAGCUUUUACAGAAGCAGGUCAAAAUGUCUCCUGACAUCUCCCCCUUUUUUAUUUUAUAAAAGCCAAAGCUGUCUCAGUGAUUGGUGCAGAAAGAGUGUGCCUGUCUUAGAUGUCUCAAAAACUGCGAAUCUUACCCAUCUGGAACAUGAAUUGGAACAUGAAUCCUGGCACUCAUGUCCUGUCUUAAGUUGAUCCACCUCUGAGGCAAUCUUACCCAUAUUUUACUAGCAGCCUCUGCAAUGGGGGAUGUUACCUAUUAGGUUACAGUUUUGAGACAAAUAAGAUGGAGACCUGCAUGGAUGUUCAAAAAGGAACGGAGGGCAAACUUAAUCACAAGUGGUAACAAGCGUAAUCCUAUAACCAUUAGAGUACCUAAGGCAAGUACUGAGAAGGCCAAAUGAGUAAAAGAAGUCAGAAAGUAUUGCCCUUCCCAGCCUUGAGCAGGCCGAAUAGACCUUGAGCAUUUGCCAUAUUGGACGAUAAAGACCUAGGUGGAGUCAUCUGCCUUGGUUGCUUAUGCAACUUCCUACAGGCACUUUGAAUAGACUGCCUGCUGACCUUGCUUUGCUCUGCUCUGAAACAAAGGAUGGGUCUGUGGGCUCUCCCUAUAUAAAUGAAGUGCAGAAUAUUAAACUUGGAGCCUUGAUCAGAACCUUGUCUUGGCUUGAUUCUUCUCACUGCCCCCUUCCCCAUCUCUUUCAUUUCCAGUGCCACCUUUCAGGUAAACCCAGUUUGUCCAUGGUCACUGGACAGCUAUAGGUGGCAUCCUAUAAUAAAAUGAGGGGCCUAAAAAUGUGUGUGUGUGGGGGAACCCCUCUGAGAAAUGCUGUCUUGGGUGGAGCUCCACAGAAAACAGAAAAAAAGUAACAGUAUCCUGCACAGUAAGCAAUGAACAGCAUUAAUGCUAGCGCUAAUUAUAUUUUUUGGAGGCUGUUGUUGCAGGAGGUGCAUUUGAGAGGGAUACAGGCUAGACCAAAGAGGUGUUGACCCAACGCCAACUUCACCUAUGGGCGACAGCACAAUUGCAUUUUUCCAUAGCCAAAAAGAGCUGCAUCAGGUGAGAGAAGCAGGGUUUAAAAAACAGAUGUUAGGAAAAUUCUUAGCUCAAGUAAAUUUAUGCUGUCCAUGGUUUCCAGAAGUAGGAAUGAUAAAAGCUAUUGCAGAGCUCUCCUUGGAACAGGAAGAAAUCGGGAGACAUCCUACUUCCGCUCUGGCUCCUACUGGAGAUAUCCUUAGUUCUGGUUCUGGGUCUCUUAGGGAGGAUAUCUAGGUCUCUUUGGGACAUCAAGUUUUCUUCCCUCUCUGUCUAUUGUCUGUCCUUGGUGCAACAAUCUGUCCAUGUCUGUGAAUUUAUGUCUGUUUUUGUUUGUUUGAAUGAUUGUUGUUCUGUGCUUCAUGUUC